This 2562-nucleotide ribosomal RNA is filed under the name Triticum aestivum (bread wheat). RNAcentral describes it as "partial small subunit ribosomal RNA". The record is from RNAcentral. Lineage: Eukaryota; Viridiplantae; Streptophyta; Magnoliopsida; Poales; Poaceae.
AUGUUCCUCAAGCUUCGUGUCAUGCUCGUCUCCGUGCUCUUACUUUGUUACGGAACCUGCUCGGCCGCGGGCGUUUCAUCUCGUGAUGACACCCUGAACGAUGGCCGGCGCAACAUCACCGACGGCCAGACGCUCGUCUCGGCUGGUGGCGCCUUCACCCUAGGGUUCUUCUCACCGGGCGACCCCAACAGGAGGUACGUCGGGAUAUGGUUCUCCGCGUCCACGGACGCCGUGGUCUGGGUGGCCAACCGCGACAGCCCGCUCAACGACACCGCCGGCGUGCUGGAGAUCGACGGGGCAGGCAGGUUUCUCCUGCUCGACGGCUCCGGCCGGACCGCGUGGUCCUCCUUAAACACGACGACCGGUGGCGCUACUUCUUCUUCGUUGUCCGCGGAGGCGCGGCUGCUCGAGUCCGGCAACCUAGUGGUGGUGCGCGACGACGACGAAGAAGAAGGCGCCGUGCUGUGGCAGUCGUUCGACCACCCGUCCAACACCCUGAUCGCCGGCAUGCGGCUGGGCAGGAACCCGCAGACGGGCGCCGAGUGGUCCCUCAGGUCUUGGCGCUCCCCGGACGACCCGGCGACGGGGGACUGCCGGCGCGCCAUGGACACUCGGGGGCUGCCGGACUGCGUGUCGUGGCGCGGCGACGUCAAGAAGUACCGCACGGGGCCGUGGAACGGGCUGUGGUUCAGCGGCGUCCCGGAGAUGGCGUCCUACUCGGACAUGUUCACGAACCAGGUGGUGGUCCGGCCCGACGAGGUGGCCUACGUGUUCAACGCCACGGCGGCGGCGCCCUUCUCGCGGCUGGUGCUGAGCGAGGCCGGCGUGAUCCAGCGGCUGGCGUGGGACGGCGGCAGCCGGGUGUGGAACGUGUUCGCGCAGGCGCCGAGGGACGUGUGCGAUGACUACGCCAAGUGCGGCGCCUUCGGGCUGUGCAACGUCAACACGGCGGCCACGCUCUUCUGCGGGUGCGUGCAGGGGUACGUGCCCGUGUCCCCCGCGCACUGGUCCAUGAGGGAGGCCGCCGCCGGCUGCCGGAGGAACGUGCCCCUGCAGUGCCGCGACGGCGGCGCCACCACGGACGGGUUCGUGGUGGUGUCUGGCGUGAAGCUCCCUGACACUGACAAUGCGACGGUGGACGUCGGGGCGACGCUGGAGGGAUGCAGGGCGAGGUGCCUGGCCAACUGCUCCUGCGUGGCCUUCGCCGCCGCCGACAUCAGAGGAGGCGGCGGUGGCAGUGGCUGCGUCAUCUGGGUCGGGGACAUCGUCGACGUCCGGUACGUCGACAAAGGCCAGGAUCUCUAUGUGAGGCUGGCAAAAUCCGAACUAGCAGCUGCUAAUAAGAAGAGAUGGGGUAUGUUGAAGAUCUUGCUACCAGUCACAGCAUGUCUGCUUGUACUGAUGUGCAUCUGCCUUGUUUGGUUAUGCAAGUUCAGAGGUAGAAUUUCAGGAUGCAACAUUGUUGUGGCACUUAUGAGAAGAGGCAACCGUCGAAACAAGGAUGUCCAGGCAAAGUCGAUCCUAGGAGGAGCUUCAAACCAACUAAUUGGUGAUGAAAAUAUCGAGCUUCCAUUGAUUAGCUUUAGAGAUAUUGUUACCGCCACAAAUGAUUUCUCGAACGAGAACAUGCUCGGACAAGGAGGCUUUGGGAAGGUUUACAAGGGAAUCUUGGAAGAUGAAAAAGAAGUCGCUAUCAAAAGGCUCAGUAAGAGUUCUGGACAAGGAGCGGAGGAAUUCAGAAAUGAAGUUGUUCUAAUUGCCAAGUUGCAGCAUAGGAACCUUGUCAGGCUUCUUGGUUAUUGUAUUCAUGAAGAUGAGAGGCUGCUGAUUUACGAGUACUUACCAAACAAAAGCUUGGAUGUCUUCAUUUUUGACGCUGCAAGUAAGUAUGUCCUUGAUUGGCCAACAAGGUUUCAAAUAAUCAAAGGGGUAGCUAGAGGACUUCUUUAUCUCCACCAAGACUCAAGGCUGACCAUAAUUCAUAGAGACCUUAAAUCAAGCAACAUCUUGUUAGAUGUGGAUAUGAGCCCAAAGAUAUCCGAUUUCGGUAUGGCAAGAAUCUUUGGUCGUGACCAACAAGAAGCAAAUACUAACCGAGUUGUUGGGACAUAUGGUUACAUGUCUCCUGAAUAUGCGAUGGAUGGCGCCUUCUCUGUCAAGUCCGAUACUUACAGCUUUGGUGUUCUACUCUUGGAGAUCAUAAGUGGUCUGAAGAUUAGCUUACCUCACCUCUCAGAAUUUCCAAACCUCUUAGCUUAUGCAUGGAACUUAUGGAAUGAUGGGAAGCCAAUGGAUAUGGUUCACUCUUCCAUUGCUGAUAACUGUUCACCAACUGAAGUUCUACGGUGUAUUCAUAUAGGCCUCUUAUGUGUGCAAGAUAAUCCUUACAAUAGGCCACUCAUGUCAUCAGUUGUGUUCAUGUUAGAGAAUGAAACCACGGAACUUUCAACCCCAAGACAACCCGUGUAUUUUGCAUACAGGAACUCUGAAGCAAAAGAAACAGGGGAAAAUACCAGCAGCUCAAUGAAUAACAUGAGUGUCACGAUGUUCGAAGGGCGGUAG